AAUAAUUAGCAUCAUCAGUCUCUAAUUUAUAUAUAAUAUACAGCACAGACUGUUGAUGUGAGUUAUUGA
Non-coding RNA from Ciona intestinalis (vase tunicate), 69 nucleotides. The record is from RefSeq. Lineage: Eukaryota; Metazoa; Chordata; Ascidiacea; Phlebobranchia; Cionidae.